UUGUAUUCUGAGUCACAUUAAGAACCAUGAGUGCUGAAACACAUAUGUCUUCCCAAUAGCUUUUUAGUACUCCUUCACAUGUGAAUUCGAACUUCCGUCCCUUAAGCUACGUCACACGGGUCUCGCCAGUAGAAUAGUCACAGCUAUAUUCCCCUUAGUCAGCAUUUUUUUGCAGAGCUCUUACCCCUUGGAAUUAGUUUCCAGGGCUUUCGUUAGGGCUGUUGCGCGCGCAUGUCAACCGGAAAAAGUUGAUUGAAGGGAAGUAAUUGUAAUUGGUUGAGAAAAACCAAUCAAAAAGUAUGUAUAGAUAUAAGAGUUGUUAUGAUUGGUUUGAAAGCUACUAAUGUAAAACGGAAUAAAAGAGUUUUGUAAAUUGGU
Molecule: non-coding RNA, 378 nt
Organism: Paramuricea clavata
Lineage: Eukaryota; Metazoa; Cnidaria; Anthozoa; Malacalcyonacea; Plexauridae
Source: the annotation of a GenBank genome assembly